Molecule: small nucleolar RNA, 131 nt
Organism: Tupaia belangeri (northern tree shrew)
Lineage: Eukaryota; Metazoa; Chordata; Mammalia; Scandentia; Tupaiidae
Gene: SNORA80B
Product: small nucleolar RNA, H/ACA box 80B
Source: Ensembl
GCAUGGGUUUGGAUUUAUGGCAGGCUCGUUCCCCUAGGCCUCUCAUAGUGUCCCAUGCCAGAGCAAACUGGCCCAAACCAUUGCCCGGUCUCUGCCUGUGGGCUGCUGGCACUAAAGCAGGUUGCACAGAG